CCCUUAGAUGUUCUGGGCUGCACGCGCGCUACACUGCAGCUAUCAACACGUUUUCCCUCCCUGAGAAGGGCGGGUAACCUUUUGAAUCAGCUUCGUGGUAGGGAUCGGGGCUUGCAAUUGUUCCCCGUGAACCAGGAAUUCCUAGUAGACGCGAGUCAUAAGCUCGCAUCGAUUAAGUCCCUGCCCUUUGUACACACCGCCCGUCGCUACUACCGAUUGAACGUUUUAGUGAGGCAUUUGGACCGACGCAUCUCAGUUUAACCGCUGGUUUGUGUUGGAAAGACUUCCAAACUUGAGCGUUUAGAGGAAGUAAAAGUCGUAACA
Molecule: ribosomal RNA, 324 nt
Filed under: uncultured eukaryote
Lineage: Eukaryota
Description: partial 18S ribosomal RNA
Rfam family: Eukaryotic small subunit ribosomal RNA
Source: RNAcentral